Molecule: ribosomal RNA, 590 nt
Filed under: uncultured bacterium
Lineage: Bacteria
Description: bacterial SSU rRNA
Rfam family: Bacterial small subunit ribosomal RNA
Source: RNAcentral
ACUCCUACGGGAGGCAGCAGUGAGGAAUUUUGCGCAAUGGCCGCAAGGCUGACGCAGCAACGCCGCGUGGGUGAUGAAGGCCUUCGGGUCGUAAAGCCCUGUCAGGUGGGAAGAAAGGCCUUGAUAAGAAACGGUUGAGGUUUGACGGUACCACCAGAGGAAGCACCGGCUAACUCCGUGCCAGCAGCCGCGGUAAUACGGAGGGUGCGAGCGUUAUUCGGAAUUGCUGGGCGUAAAGCGCGUGUAGGCGGGGAUGCAAGUCUGAUGUGAAAGCCCUGGGCUUAACCUGGGAAGUGCAUUGGAAACUGCAUUUCUUGAGUACUGGAGAGGAAGGGGGAAUUCCCGGUGUAGAGGUGAAAUUCGUAGAGAUCGGGAGGAAUACCAGUGGCGUAGGCGCUCUUCUGGACGGUAACUGACGCUGAGACGCGAAAGCGUGGGGAGCAAACAGGAUUAGAUACCCUGGUAGUCCACGCUGUAAACGAUGAUCACUAGGUGUAGCGGGUACUCAUUCCUGCUGUGCCGUAGCUAACGCGUUAAGUGAUCCGCCUGGGGAUUACGGUCGCAAGACUAAAACUCAAAGGAAUUGACGG